CGUAGCUCAGCUGGUUAGAGCGCCAGGUUGUGGCCCUGGAGGCCGUGGGUUCAAAUCCCAUCG
This 63-nucleotide transfer RNA is filed under the name uncultured Fodinibius sp. It matches the Rfam family "tRNA", at positions 6 to 65 of the family's 71-position model. From Rfam's summary of the family: Transfer RNA (tRNA) molecules are approximately 80 nucleotides in length. Their secondary structure includes four short double-helical elements and three loops (D, anti-codon, and T loops). Further hydrogen bonds mediate the characteristic L-shaped molecular structure. tRNAs have two regions of fundamental functional importance: the anti-codon, which is responsible for specific mRNA codon recognition, and the 3' end, to which the tRNAs corresponding amino acid is attached (by aminoacyl-tRNA synthetases). tRNAs cope with the degeneracy of the genetic code in two manners: having more than one tRNA (with a specific anti-codon) for a particular amino acid; and 'wobble' base-pairing, i.e. permitting non-standard base-pairing at the 3rd anti-codon position. Lineage: Bacteria; Pseudomonadati; Balneolota; Balneolia; Balneolales; Balneolaceae. The record is from RNAcentral.